This 31-nucleotide non-coding RNA is filed under the name Homo sapiens (human). Lineage: Eukaryota; Metazoa; Chordata; Mammalia; Primates; Hominidae. The record is from RNAcentral.
AUCCUGGGAGCCCCUCUCCUUAUCUGGCUGC